GACGAACGCUGGCGGCGUGCUUAACACAUGCAAGUCGAACGGUGAAGCGCCUUCCUUUUUGGUGGGUGUGGAUGAGUGGCGAACGGGUGAGUAACACGUGAGUAACCUGCCCCCUUCUUCUGGAUAACCGCAUGAAAGUGUGGCUAAUACGGGAUAUUCUGGGUCUGUCGCAUGAUGGGUCUGGGAAAGAUAUUGUUUCGGUGGGGGAUGGGCUCGCGGCCUAUCAGCUUGUUGGUGGGGUGAUGGCCUACCAAGGCGGUGACGGGUAGCCGGCCUGAGAGGGUGGACGGUCACACUGGGACUGAGACACGGCCCAGACUCCUACGGGAGGCAGCAGGGGGGAAUAUUGCACAAUGGGAGGAAGCCUGAUGCAGCGACGCCGCGUGAGGGAUGGAGGCCUUCGGGUUGUGAACCUCUUUCGCCAGUGAAGCAGGCCUGCCUCGUUUGUGGGUGGGUUGACGGUAGCUGGAUAAGAAGCGCCGGCUAACUACGUG
This 494-nucleotide ribosomal RNA is filed under the name uncultured bacterium. RNAcentral describes it as "partial 16S ribosomal RNA". It matches the Rfam family "Bacterial small subunit ribosomal RNA", at positions 28 to 507 of the family's 1533-position model. The record is from RNAcentral.